This 301-nucleotide ribosomal RNA is filed under the name uncultured bacterium. Its description in RNAcentral is "partial 16S ribosomal RNA". It matches the Rfam family "Bacterial small subunit ribosomal RNA", at positions 509 to 807 of the family's 1533-position model. The record is from RNAcentral.
CAGUAGCCGCGGUAAUACAGAGGGUGCGAGCGUUAAUCGGAUUUACUGGGCGUAAAGCGUGCGUAGGCGGCUUUUUAAGUCGGAUGUGAAAUCCCUGAGCUUAACUUAGGAAUUGCAUUCGAUACUGGGAAGCUAGAGUAUGGGAGAGGAUGGUAGAAUUCCAGGUGUAGCGGUGAAAUGCGUAGAGAUCUGGAGGAAUACCGAUGGCGAAGGCAGCCAUCUGGCCUAAUACUGACGCUGAGGUACGAAAGCAUGGGGAGCAAACAGGAUUAGAUACCCCGGUAGUCUCUGUCUCUUAUAC